Molecule: ribosomal RNA, 386 nt
Filed under: uncultured bacterium
Lineage: Bacteria
Description: bacterial SSU rRNA
Rfam family: Bacterial small subunit ribosomal RNA
Source: RNAcentral
GACGAACGCUGGCGGCGUGCUUAACACAUGCAAGUCGAGCGGAAAGGCUCCUUCGGGGGUACUCGAGCGGCGAACGGGUGAGUAACACGUGAGUAAUCUGCCCUUGGCUUUGGGAUAACUACCGGAAACGGUGGCUAAUACCGGAUACGACCACUCCUUGCAUGAGGUGGUGGUGGAAAGUUUUUUUCGGCCAGGGAUGUGCUCGCGGCCUAUCAGCUUGUUGUGGGGUAAUGGCCUACCAAGGCUUCGACGGGUAGCCGGCCUGAGAGGGUGACCGGCCACACUGGGACUGAGACACGGCCCAGACUCCUACGGGAGGCAGCAGUGGGGAAUAUUGGACAAUGGGCGAAGCCUGAUCCAGCAACGCCGCGUGAGGGAUGACGGCC